GGAAUAGCCCCGAGAAAUCGGGAUUAAUACUCCGUAACAUUGCGGUGUGGCAUCACACUGCACUUAAAGCUGAGGCGGUUAAAGAUGGGCAUGCGUGACAUUAGCUAGUUGGUGAGGUAACGGCUCACCAAGGCAACGAUGUCUAGGGGUCCUGAGAGGGUUAUCCCCCACACUGGUACUGAGACACGGACCAGACUCCUACGGGAGGCAGCAGUAAGGAAUAUUGGUCAAUGGGCGCAAGCCUGAACCAGCCAUGCCGCGUGCAGGAAGACGGCCCUAUGGGUUGUAAACUGCUUUUGUCAGGGAAUAAACCCCCGCUCGUGAGCGGGGCUGAAGGUACCUGAAGAAUAAGCAUCGGCUAACUCCGUGCCAGCAGCCGCGGUAAUACGGAGGAUGCAAGCGUUAUCCG
This 409-nucleotide ribosomal RNA is filed under the name uncultured bacterium. RNAcentral describes it as "bacterial SSU rRNA". It matches the Rfam family "Bacterial small subunit ribosomal RNA", at positions 140 to 547 of the family's 1533-position model. The record is from RNAcentral.